GACGAACGCUGGCGGCGUGCUUAACACAUGCAAGUCGAACGAAGAGCGAUGGAAGCUUGCUUCUAUCAAUCUUAGUGGCGAACGGGUGAGUAACGCGUAAUCAACCUGUCCUUCAGAGGGGGACAACAGUUGGAAACGACUGCUAAUACCGCAUACGAUCUAACCUCGGCAUCGAGGAUGGAUGAAAGGUGGCCUCUAUUUAUAAGCUAUCACUGAAGGAGGGGAUUGCGUCUGAUUAGCUAGUUGGAGGGGUAACGGCCCACCAAGGCGAUGAUCAGUAGCCGGUCUGAGAGGAUGAACGGCCACAUUGGGACUGAGACACGGCCCAGACUCCUACGGGAGGCAGCAGUGGGGAAUCUUCCGCAAUGGACGAAAGUCUGACGGAGCAACGCCGCGUGAGUGAUGACGGCCUUCGGGUUGUAAAGCUCUGUUAAUCGGGACGAAAGGCCUUCUUGCGAAUAGUUAGAAGGAUUGACGGUACCGGAAUAGAAAGCCACGGCUAACUACGUG
RNAcentral lists this ribosomal RNA (510 nucleotides) under uncultured bacterium. Its description in RNAcentral is "partial 16S ribosomal RNA". It matches the Rfam family "Bacterial small subunit ribosomal RNA", at positions 28 to 507 of the family's 1533-position model. The record is from RNAcentral.